GACGAACGCUGGCGGCGNNNNAAUACAUGCAAGUCGAGCGGACCUUUCGGGGUCAGCGGCGGACGGGUGAGUAACACGUGGGCAAUCUGCCCGAUACUCUGGGAUAACGCUUGGAAACGAGUGCUAAUACCGGAUGGUCUUCUUGGUCGCAUGGCSGAGAAGGAAAAGACGCGUUCGCGUCGGUGUCGGAUGAGCCCGCGGCGCAUUAGCUAGUUGGUGAGGUAACGGCCCACCAAGGCGACGAUGCGUAGCCGACCUGAGAGGGUGACCGGCCACACUGGGACUGAGACACGGCCCAGACUCCUACGGGAGGCAGCAGUAGGGAAUCUUCCACAAUGGGCGAAAGCCUGAUGGAGCAACGCCGCGUGAGUGAUGAAGGCCUUCGGGUUGUAAAACUCUGUCAUUCGGGACGAACCGGAGUCUGAGGAAAUGCAGACUCUCUGACGGUACCGGAGGAGGAAGCCCCGGCUAACUACGUGCCAGCAGCCGCGGUAAUACGUAGGGGGCAAGCGUUGUCCGGAUUCACUGGGCGUAAAGCGCGCGCAGGCGGUGAUGUAAGUCUGAGGUGAAAACCCGAAGCUCAACUUCGGGACUGCCUUGGAUACUGCGUCACUUGAGGAUAGGAGAGGCAAGGGGAAUUCCACGUGUAGCGGUGAAAUGCGUAGAGAUGUGGAGGAACACCUGUGGCGAAGGCGCCUUGCUGGCCUAUUUCUGACGCUGAGGCGCGAAAGCGUGGGGAGCAAACAGGAUUAGAUACCCUGGUAGUCCACGCUGUAAACGAUGAGUGCUAGGUGUAGGUGGGCUCAUACCCAUCUGUGCCGAAGCUAACGCAUUAAGCACUCCGCCUGGGGAGUACGGUCGCAAGACUGAAACUCAAAGNGAAUUGACGGGGGCCCGCACAAGCAGUGGAGCAUGUGGUUUAAUUCGAAGCAACGCGAAGAACCUUACCAGGACUUGACAUCCCAUAGACCAGUCUAGAGAUAGACUUUCCCUUCGGGGCUGUGGUGACAGGUGGUGCAUGGUUGUCGUCAGCUCGUGUCGUGAGAUGUUGGGUUAAGUCCCGCAACGAGCGCAACCCUUACUUGGUGUUGCCAGCAUUCAGUUGGGCACUCACAAGGGACUGCCGCCGAUAAGGCGGAGGAAGGUGGGGGAUGACGUCAAAUCAUCAUGCCCCUUAUGUCCUGGGCUACACACGUGCUACAAUGGGCGGUACAACGGGAUGCGAAGCCGCGAGGUGGAGCCAAACCCUGAAAACCGUUCGUAGUUCGGAUUGUAGGCUGCAACUCGCCUACAUGAAGCCGGAAUUGCUAGUAAUCGCGGAUCAGCAUGCCGCGGUGAAUCCGUUCCCGGGCCUUGUACACACCGCCCGUCACACCACGAGAAUGGGCAACACCCGAAGUCGGUGGGGUAACCUUUACGGGAGCUAGCCGCCGAAGGUGGGGCCUGUGAUUGGGGUG
This 1457-nucleotide ribosomal RNA is filed under the name uncultured bacterium. RNAcentral describes it as "bacterial SSU rRNA". It matches the Rfam family "Bacterial small subunit ribosomal RNA". The record is from RNAcentral.